This is a long non-coding RNA of Pteropus alecto (black flying fox), 2095 nucleotides long. RefSeq lists it as uncharacterized. Lineage: Eukaryota; Metazoa; Chordata; Mammalia; Chiroptera; Pteropodidae. The record is from RefSeq and is a predicted model, not a curated record. The transcript is spliced from 5 exons.
ACAUCUCGUGGGGUACGGGGGUGGUGGGGGUGCGGCAGGGAGGGGGCGUCUGAAAGUGUCUCGGAUCCAGCCUUAAACUCUUCUGCCUCUUCGUGACCCUGGAUCUCACCGUGGAGGCUUCUGACUCCACCCUCCCCGAAGGGCCGGGAAGCCGGGGUCUGAGACGGGAAGUCUUGAGGUCGGAGCCUGGCUUGGCAUGGCCCGGGCAAGUCGCUGCACCUCUGGGUGCCGCCUCCCUUGCCCGCUCCCCUGAGAGAACUCCCUACAGGGACGAGAGGCGGCGGAAGGGACUCAGCGGGCGUCUGCAAGGAAGGUGGGGGCGGGGGGCGGUGUUGAGGAUCGGCGGAGGCGUCGCGACGAGGGAUGUGUCCGCCACCCCCAGCCUCUGCUCAAACCCAGGGCAGGCUUGGGGGUCCAUUGUUCCGGUCCUACAGCGCUCAGCUGGGGCCUUGCCGCGAGCUGUUGCUGCCACCUGCUGGUUCUCCGCGGGAACACAGGCACCUGGUGGAAUUCCCUCGGGCCUUUUCUUCCCCCCUCCCCUUAUCGCCCUGUGCCAUCUUCCUCUCCAAAGUCCUUCUUUUAGUCGAGACGCGUUUACUAAAGCACUAGCCGCAAUUGGGCUGAUCCAAACUGGUAGUUCGGAGCCAUCAGCAACCGAGGAAAAUUGUGAAAGAGAUCUGUGAGCCAACAAGCACAAUAAACAAAACAAUGAAACUUUAGGCGGCACCUGGGAGAAACAAACAGGCUUUAGCGAAUUGGCUGAAUGAGUGAUAUAAGGAAAGAUAAAGGCGGCUGAACAAGUCCCCACUUGGCAAGAGGGUUGUUCACUCCCAAUACCUGGAGUUAAUUGAGAAGCCUGACGUUGGACGACUCUGCACGUGGACAUCAUUAAUAAGUCCACGCGCAACGAAAGGCCAAUGGGCAUCUUUCUGUUCGGAAAGCUCACCUGGGCAGCUGUCCUAGGAGAGAUGACACAGAGAUCCAGGAUGCGACUAUCCGACUAUCCGAGGCUUUUCACUGUUGCCACAAAAGGUGUUUUUCCAGCUUCGUGCCAUGGACAUCUUCCUCAAACACAUUCAUACAUGUGGAGGCCGGAAAGGAGGCUCUGACUCAACAGCCGUUGGACAGAUUGCUCUUCAAACAACUGUCUUGCGUUGAGUUCUGUCUCGUGUUCUGACUACAUCCCUGUGGACCCGAGGAGCUCUGUGAAAACAGUGCUGCCUCCCCUGCUGCUUUCUCCCCUCCUCGUCCCGAGCUGCGUCCUCUCUGAAAUUUAUCUGAGCAUUGUGUGCGAGCAAUUUAUUUGAAAGGCUGCUGUCAUCUUCUCCCUGGACAUCAUCUCUGUGGCUCAGUGAUUUCCUGCUCACCCCCACCUCCACCGAGUGUUUAUGUGACUUCGACCCAGCUUUAUCCUGACAGUAGCGAUUCCCUGAGAAUCUAGUGUGCAGAGGGAAACCCACCAUGACAGCAGAAGAAUUUGAGGAGAAGCUUGCUAGAGAGGUGGGCUCUCGCCUAAGAAAGUGCCGACCUUCAGUUCUGCUUGUCGGGCUGACCCCCCUCAUCUGGCCGAAUUCCUCCCUUUUGGAGAUCAACUGCCACGAAGUAGAGGGAUCACAUCUUCACUCACAUUUUAACAUAUGAAUGACUUAAAUGUAUUGAAUGAAUAAGCGAUAUUGCAGACGGAGAUGGAGAAUGAGGAGAUAUGUUCUUAAGGCAUCAGCCAUACGGAAGGAGCCCCAAGCUCCUGAGUCGUGACAUGGAUCAAGGACUCAGGAGCCAGCUGGCUACUCUGAUCUGACUGAUAUGUCUCUUCACCCUCCAAUCUGCUGUGCCGUCGCUAAGGAGGAAGAUUGCGUUAGACUCUGCCCGGCGAUGAUCAUGAGCCAAAGCUGCCGAUGAGUGAUGUCAGCUCUUCUGGGCUAUGCAGGACCCACACACAGCCUUUGCUGGUGUGAACGUCUGCCAGCCUCACGGAAGCAUGACGUGGUCCCAGCAAGGGCAAGCACGAUUCCCUCCUCCUUGGGUUUGCUGCCACCUUCUGUUUACCCUCCUUCCAUCUUCGGGACUAACUCAACAAAAAUUCCAGGAGCAAAGA